Megalopta genalis is the source of this 759-nucleotide non-coding RNA. The record is from RefSeq and is a predicted model, not a curated record. NCBI's taxonomy places the organism in Eukaryota, Metazoa, Arthropoda, Insecta, Hymenoptera, Halictidae.
UCCUAAAGACUCGAGAGACCGAAGGACACUCUUGUCUUGGCAUCUUAUUUGCAUGCACGUAUGGAAAUCGCUAUUAAUCAGCUUGAUGUUUAAUACACAUGUGUGUACACAAGUUGAUACGAGUUCUACAAUCUCCUUUGAAAUUGUUUCUUUUCAGGCAUGGACACAUUUUAUUACAAUCGAAACUAAUUUAUUGUUUUUAUGUUAGAGAAGAUAGCAAAAGUAACGUUAUCCUUUCAGUACAAAAAAAUACUUUAGCUUAGAGAAUUAUUUCGAUAAAAGUUUCUUGAAUGCCCAAGCCUGUGUGCCACUGUCUUGUGUCAACAGCUCACAUUGCAACAUUUUGAAUGAACACGAAAUAGGAAUUUUUGAGCGGUAUAACGAGACUUAAUUAUUUUUACACAGUGCAUGAAGUAUUCGCAAGUUUGGCGUUAAGUGGACAGAAUUUUGGGUCAAAAUUAAGGAGGUAUCACUAUUAAUUUUUCCUUAACAUGUUAAGCGCCAGGAUUUUUUCAACAUUACGAAAAAUAGUGAAAAAGAAAGGGGUGAUGAGAACAAAAUUGUCCUAUUUAUUGUUUCUUCUUUCAGUAACUUGCGGCUCUUAAUUUAAAUUGGUGCUUAAUCUGUUAAAAAAAUGUUCAUAGCGUGAAUAGCGAUCGUUCCUAAUUGAAACAGAUAUCGUACAUUACUUGAACGCGUGACCACGCGUUUUGUAUGAAAUUAUUUAUGAAUACAUGAGAUACUGAAGAACGCAUCGAA